CUUUCAUAAAGGAAAAUAGGUACCCGAAAUUUUUUAUUUCGUGUUUAAAAGGGAAGCUUGGUGAAAUUCCAACGCGGUCCCGCCACUGUAAGUGCAGAGACUUCUUUUCUAUACCACUGUGAAAAACGGGAAGGUGAAAGAAAUCGUAUAAAGCAUAAGCCAGGAGACCUGCCUAUUUUAACAACACUGA
Molecule: non-coding RNA, 190 nt
Filed under: Bacillus cereus
Lineage: Bacteria; Bacillati; Bacillota; Bacilli; Caryophanales; Bacillaceae
Source: RNAcentral